GCUCAGUUAGUUGAGUGUCCAACUCUUGAUCUCAGCUCAGCUCUUGAUCUCAGGGUCGUGAGUUCAAGUCCCACACUGGGCU
RNAcentral lists this transfer RNA (82 nucleotides) under Felis catus (domestic cat). It matches the Rfam family "tRNA". From Rfam's summary of the family: Transfer RNA (tRNA) molecules are approximately 80 nucleotides in length. RNAcentral also lists the same sequence under 1 other name. Lineage: Eukaryota; Metazoa; Chordata; Mammalia; Carnivora; Felidae. The record is from Rfam by way of RNAcentral.